UAGGGAAUAUUGGGCAAUGGAGGCAACUCUGACCCAGCCAUGCCGCGUGCAGGAAGAAGGCGCUCAGCGUUGUAAACUGCUUUUAUCGGGGAAGAAACGACCCUUGCGAGGGGCAUUGACGGUACCCGAUGAAUAAGCACCGGCUAACUCCGUGCCAGCAGCCGCGGUAAUACGGAGGGUGCAAGCGUUGUCCGGAUUUAUUGGGUUUAAAGGGUGCGCAGGCGGGAAGGUUAGGUCGUGGUGAAAGACGAUCGCUCAACGAUUGCAGUGCCAUGAAUACUGCCUUUCUUGAAUCUGGUUGAGGCCGGUGGAAUUGACCGUGUAGCGGUGAAAUGCAUAGAUAUGGUCAAGAACUCCAAUUGCGAAGGCAGCCGGCUGGGCCAGUAUUGACGCUCAGGCACGAGAGUGCGGGGAUCAAACA
RNAcentral lists this ribosomal RNA (421 nucleotides) under uncultured bacterium. Its description in RNAcentral is "partial 16S ribosomal RNA". It matches the Rfam family "Bacterial small subunit ribosomal RNA", at positions 355 to 774 of the family's 1533-position model. The record is from RNAcentral.